CCCCAUGUUCCCCUUUUAGCUUUUUGUUUGUUUGUUAAACAAAUGGUAGGUAGCAGGAUAGACUGCUUCAGAAUUCCUGAUCAUUUACUGCAGAUCUUUUAAUACCUUUGGACGAAAGCUUUUGUUAGAGUUUAGGUGAACUCUUAUCCUUAAGGAUUUGUGAUCUAAUGAGAAAACUAAGUAGAUGUGGCUCUUUUGCCCAGAAUGGUUCCCAGGAUGAGGGUAACAGAUUUUGUUUUAUUAUACGGAUCUUUUUUUGAGUCAGAGAAUUGUUGCCUUCUAUUUUGGUGUGGCUUCUUUUCAUUUCAUAUGCUGUGUCUCUCUCCAGCUCUCCUACAAAUUAAGUCUCUUGGGUUUUCUGAUCAAACAUUCUUCAAGGGGACAAAUACUUGUUUCUUUACUAUUCUGAAGUUCACUCACUCGUUCUUAAGGUAAUACUUCUUGAAUUGUAUAUAGAUGUAUAUAAUGAAGAUUAUAGAUGCAUAUAAUGAAGAAAUCUGACCAUCAGGCCAGAUAAACAUGUACAACCCAAGCUGAUUUCAUGUGGGCUGCAAAUCCCAUGAAUUCGUUUUUGGAGGCCUAAUAAAUGCUCCUCUUUUUUUUCUCUGCAAAUAUGGUAACUAUAGUAACUGCGCAUUCUCAGAAAAUCCACUUAAAAACCUGACUUCCUAGAGCUGUAUUUCAGCUUCGAGUAGUGAAUUUUACCACCCUGGUGCAUAGACUUGUACUAGAAAAUUGAUUCGGCACUGUGGCGAUCCAUUGCUCCGAGUUACAUAGCAAAUCUGCCUGCUGCACCAUUUAAAUUGACCCCAUCACUGUCAUAAAAUUUGAUACUGCAUGCACUGCCCUAGGAAAAAAAGGCAAUAUGAUGCAGCUUCAAAAAUGAGAUUCAGAGGAUUAGAAUGUCAUUUUUGAUUUUAAAUGACUUCCACUCUCUGUGUGCCCAAGUAUUGUUUGCUCCUCAGGCCUGUGUCACUACCGCACUGCC
Molecule: long non-coding RNA, 988 nt
Filed under: Bos taurus (domestic cattle)
Lineage: Eukaryota; Metazoa; Chordata; Mammalia; Artiodactyla; Bovidae
Description: long non-coding RNA NONBTAT001592
Source: RNAcentral